UAUCUUUCGUCCCUCUUUUAUACAGUUUAUCCGAUACUUGUGUAUAUAAUUUGUUGCUAGCUUGUGCCAAAAACAUUCCAAUUUUAACUUGAUUUGUAGUUCAAGUGGAAAUCUUCCAAGUUCCCCAUACACCAUAAUAUUUGGCGUAGACAAUCACACCCCAAAAUGCCCUUACAAAACUGUAGAUAUAUUUUUUUCAGUAUUAUUUUUAUUUUUAAACCCCCAUAUUUCCGAGGAGUAGGUCAAAAUAGUAGCCACCGAUGCAUCAAAUACAGUCUACCAUUUUUUUUUCGCGCUUAAGAGAAGUUUCCGUUGUAAUUACAUAGCAGACAAAGAUAAACAUAUGAAUCUUUAAUUUCAUAACAUAGUUUAAAAGGAACAUUCUUAUUAAUCUUUCUCUUUGAAAAAAUUACAAUCUUUGUUUUUGUUAGUAUAUACUUGUUAGCAUGUUUGAUGUAAAAAUGUAAAUAUAAUUUAACUGUAGAUAUAUUUUUUUUCAGUAUUAUUUUUAUUUUCAAACCCCAAUAUUUCCAAGGAGUAGGUCAAAAUAGUAACCACCAAUGCAUCAAAGACCAAGUCUACCAAUUUUUUUUUCGCGCUUAAGAGAAGUUUCCGUUGUUAUUACAUACCAGACAAAGAUAAACAUAUGAAUCUUUAAUUUCAAUAAUUUCAUUAUAGUUUAACAUUCUUAUGAAACUUUCUCUUUGAAAAAAUUACAAUCUUUGUUUUUGUUAGUGUAUAGUUUGAUGUAAAACUGUAGAUAUAUUUUUUUUCAGUAUUAUUUUUAUUUUCAAACCCCCAUAUUUCUGAGGAGUAGGUCAAAAUAACCACCAAUGCAUCAAAUACAGUCUACCACUUUUUUUUCGAGCUUAAUAGAGAUAGUCACUUUAAUU
Molecule: long non-coding RNA, 893 nt
Filed under: Mytilus galloprovincialis (Mediterranean mussel)
Lineage: Eukaryota; Metazoa; Mollusca; Bivalvia; Mytilida; Mytilidae
Source: RNAcentral